GGCAUUGUGGCUCAGUGGUAGUGUGCUCACCUAGAAAGUGCGAGGCCCUGGGUUCAAUCCUCAGCACCA
RNAcentral lists this transfer RNA (69 nucleotides) under Marmota monax (woodchuck). Its description in RNAcentral is "tRNA.Ser". It matches the Rfam family "tRNA". From Rfam's summary of the family: Transfer RNA (tRNA) molecules are approximately 80 nucleotides in length. Their secondary structure includes four short double-helical elements and three loops (D, anti-codon, and T loops). Lineage: Eukaryota; Metazoa; Chordata; Mammalia; Rodentia; Sciuridae. The record is from RNAcentral.